UGUGCAUAAUCAUUCACUCCAACAACUGAGUCUAACUGAGAGAAAGGUAUAAAUAAUAUGUGACAUAUGCUAAUAGCUGCAAAAGAGGAAUUAAAGGGUCCUGUGAGAGCAUUCGGGAAAAACAACAUACAUAAUCUUUAUGUCAUGGAUGACCUCCAUGAGGAUGGGAAUUUUCAGAAUGAAGGGUAAUUGGGUGUUAAGCAGCACAAUAUGUCAUGAAGAAUUGCAUGUCAUAACAUUUUGAGGUGAUCUCUCAUGAAUAAAGAAUGGAGGCAAGACUGCGAAGACCUGCAAUGUGAUGGCCAAUGAGGACUCAGCUGGGAUUCCUGCAAGGUCAUCUUGAACUGAGGCAGGACCUUGGGCUCUUGGCAUCGGGCAGACAUGAGAUCUGAAUCACACAGAGAGGAACAUAAACUUGGGGGAUGCAAUUAUUUGCUGAUAAAGGUGAGGGUGGCUCUCUGUCCCAAGGCCACGGACACCUCAGAUGGCUGAGUCACUGCAGAAGAGACAACAGGACCUGCAAGAGAGGAGAGCAGAGGUGAAGGCAAUUAACAAGCACAAACAUUCCACGGAGGAGGACACAGAAAUCGCAAAGAGCACAAGAAAGGUCGUUCCUCAUUAACCAUGAGGGAAAUGCACAUGAAAACCACAAGCACAUCUCCCUACGUACUUAUCAGAUUGGCUGCAAUAAAAUUAGUGACAAACCUAAUUGUUGGCGAGGAUGUGGGGAUACUGUAUCACUCAUGUCCCAUGAGGGGAAUGUGAAAUGCUGCAGCAACCCUGGAAAAGGGUAUGAGAGAUUCUUUAAAAAAGUGAACUUAUGGUUACCAUGGAACCCAGCAAAUGACUCUUGGGCAUUUAUUUCAAAAUGAAAAUAUGUUCAUAGAGAAACUAUGCACAAAUGUUCAUACACCCUUAUGUAUACUACCUCAAGGUAAGAACAAUCCAGGUGUCCUUCAUUGGGUGGAUUGGUAAACAGACUUUGGUAUACUGGGAUCAUGGAAUAGUACUCAGUGAUGAAAAGGAAUGAAAUCUUAAUGCACACAAGGAUGUUGAUGAAUGUACAGUGUCUUAUGCAGAGUGAAAAAUGCCAAUCCCAAAGGCUAUGCACAAUAGAAAUCUAUUUUUUAUUUCUAUUAAUCAUUCUUGAAAAGACAAAAUUUUAGAAAUGGAGAAUCAGUUAGUGGAUGGCAAAGGUUAGGGGCAGUGCAGGGCACGUAGGAGGGAGGAAGUGAAUGUUGUUAUAAAAUGACAACAUGAGGGCUCCCUGUGGAGAUGGAACCGUUUUGUCUCUUAACUGUGGUGUGGACCUAUGAACCUACACAGGGGAUAAAAUCACAUCAAUCUACCUACACACACAAACACACACACACGACUGAGUAAAAGUCACCGGGGGAAUCUGAAUUUGAAAAUGGACAAGUAUUUGUUCAAAAUCUUCACUAAACAAAACACACAGAUGACAAUAAGCACCUGAAAGAUGCUAAAGGUUUCCAGUCACUAAAGAAAUGAAAACUGUAAAUAUGAUGGGAUAUCACUACAGAUAUAUUAAAAAGGUUUAAACAAAAACUGAGAAGCUACUGUUAAUGAGAAUGCGGAACAAACGGAAGUCUCGUAAACGCUUGGUUAUAAUGAAAACGCAAAGCCAGCAUCGACGUUGGAAAACAAUUUGUUCAUUUCUGAGAAAGUUCGACAUAUAUCUACCAUAUGAGCCAGAAAUUCCAUUCCUAUGUAUUUAUUCAAGUGACAUGAAAACUCAUGUCCACAAAAAACCCAAAACAAGGUCCUAAAGCUUUUAUUUGAAAUUACCAGAGUGGAACAUGGAAAUAUGCCAAGUGUCACUUCACUGGGAAAUUGAAACACAAACUGUAGUUCAUCUGUGCAAGGGAAUUCUACUCACAGUGAAAACGGAAUGAACUAUUAACAUGCAAGAAUGUAGAAGCAUCCCAAAUGGAUUAUGCCUAGUGAAAGAAGCCUGAAUGAAACCACUACCAGAAUGAAACAUAAUAUUUAUAUGAAGUUCUUGCAAAGAUCGAACUAUGGUGACAGACAUCAGAUCUGGAGUUGUGAGUUGGACAUGGCAGGAGAGUGUGACUGCCAAGAGGUCUUGGAAUCUGUGGGUAAUGAUUGAACUGUUACACAUCAUGGUUGUGGAAGUGCUUACACCUCUGUAUGCAUUUGUCAAAACUCACACAACUGUUCACUAAAAGUACUGGAUCUUGGAAGAUGUAAAUUAUGUAAUUUUGUAAAUUAUGUCAUUAUGUAAAUUAUGUAAUUAUGACAUAAUAAAAGAAAAAAAGUUGUCGUAGGUGAAGGUUUCCAAGAGCCAACUCUCACAUAGACUAGUUUGCAAGAGGUCUAGAUGAAACAGAGAACACACCCUGAGGACAGGAAGGAAGCAGAUUUGGGCAGAUAUGGAUGUUGAGGUCUGACACAACAGGGCCCACAGUACAAAUAAUGGGGCUCUGGUGCUGGGGGUGCCCUUCGGAUCCCGCUGAAUGGCCGGCAGCCCUGCCUCCAUCCCACCACACUCACAGGUCACUAGAUGUAGCCUGUUACCAAGAACUGGAAUGUCCCCACUGUGCCAGGUCUCUUCAGCAGAAGCAAGUCCUGGAGCUGCAGUUGCUGACACCCCAGCCUCUGGGGAAUGAGGUCUCCAUCCUGCAGGGGA
Molecule: long non-coding RNA, 2668 nt
Organism: Equus caballus (horse)
Lineage: Eukaryota; Metazoa; Chordata; Mammalia; Perissodactyla; Equidae
Source: RefSeq, a predicted model, not a curated record